RNAcentral lists this ribosomal RNA (253 nucleotides) under uncultured bacterium. Its description in RNAcentral is "partial 16S ribosomal RNA". It matches the Rfam family "Bacterial small subunit ribosomal RNA", at positions 524 to 776 of the family's 1533-position model. The record is from RNAcentral.
UACGUAGGUGGCAAGCGUUGUCCGGAUUUAUUGGGUUUAAAGGGUGCGUAGGCGGCCCUAUAAGUCAGUGCUGAAAUAUCCCGGCUUAACCGGGAGUGUGGCAUUGAUACUGUAGGGCUUGAGUGAAGUCGAGGUAGGCGGAAUUGACGGUGUAGCGGUGAAAUGCUUAGAUAUCGUCAAGAACACCGAUCGUGAAGACAGCUUACUAGACUUCAACUGACGCUGAGGCACGAAAGUGUGGGGAUCAAACAGG